RNAcentral lists this ribosomal RNA (429 nucleotides) under Acidobacteriota bacterium. RNAcentral describes it as "Acidobacteria bacterium partial 16S ribosomal RNA". It matches the Rfam family "Bacterial small subunit ribosomal RNA", at positions 355 to 776 of the family's 1533-position model. The record is from RNAcentral. Lineage: Bacteria; Pseudomonadati; Acidobacteriota.
UGGGGAAUUUUGGACAAUGGGGGAAACCCUGAUCCACCCAUCCCGCGUGUGCGAUGAAGGCCUUCGGGUUGUAAAGCCCUUUUGGCAGGAAAGAAACGUCAUGGGUUAAUACCCCGUGAAACUGACGGUACCUGCAGAAUAAGCACCGGCUAACUACGUGCCAGCAGCCGCGGUAAUACGUAGGGUGCAAGCGUUAAUCGGAAUUACUGGGCGUAAAGCGUGCGCAGGCGGUUCGGAAAGAAAGAUGUGAAAUCCCAGAGCUCAACUUUGGAACUGCAUUUUUAACUACCGGGCUAGAGUGUGUCAGAGGGAGGUGGAAUUCCGCGUGUAGCAGUGAAAUGCGUAGAUAUGCGGAGGAACACCGAUGGCGAAGGCAGCCUCCUGGGAUAACACUGACGCUCAUGCACGAAAGCGUGGGGAGCAAACAGG